AUUUAAAUAGUUUAAUAAAAAUUUUGAUUUGUGGAGUCAAGGAUGUAAUAAUACUUUAAAUA
This 62-nucleotide transfer RNA is filed under the name Lycus dentipes. Its description in RNAcentral is "tRNA-His". Lineage: Eukaryota; Metazoa; Arthropoda; Insecta; Coleoptera; Lycidae. The record is from RNAcentral.